CAGAACGGUCAAUGAAAUGGAUAAAGAAUACCCUUUAUUCAUUGAGAACGGUCUAUAAAUGAUGGUUUUUUUCAUAAAUUUAAGUAAACGCACGUCCCUUCACCUGAUGUGACUACUGCAACAGAUAAACAGAGAGAACAAUACUUAUUUAACUUUAACCUCAAAAAUCAAAACAACACAAUGGAAGAGAAAAGUUAUCCAACCCCCUAUUCAACGGGGCCAACUACUCCAUUGGAUUUUGAUCAACAACAGCAAAUUCCGUCGUACCCCGUUAAUCAAGGGUUACAACAACCACCUUCCCAAUACGACAACCACAAGCAGCCACCACCUCUAAAUCCAUAUAACACUGCACCUACUGUGCCAGUUCCCUAUGUUGCACAACCCCAACCAACAGUUGCUGCAUUAAAUUCUACUCUGCGAGCCCACCGACCGAGACGAAUAUUUGGAAUUAGAAAGCGUAAGGAUCUGUACAUCGUUCUGGGUAUAUUAGGCGGAAUAUUUCUGGUUACCGUGAUUAUUGGAAUAGUUAUAGGUGUGGUUGCGUCAUGAGAUAUCAGCGAGUCUAAUAGGAGAUACGAAGAAUUUCGAAAAAAACAUUUCCCUGGGUUAAACUGAAUAUUUAGCCUAUUUCUGGUUGCUUGCAUAUUAUCAUCUAUUCUACUGAACGAUGUUUAUAUAAUGUUGCAUUUGAGUUUGAUGAUUACCUUAAUUAUGAGCUGAUGCUAAGAAUAUUACUAUGGGCUCGUAUGCCUAAUCGUAAAGUAAGUGAUUAUAAUGGUUGUUUUAUCACGGUGUGUCCUACUUUAGAGAUAGAGAUUUGCAGUUUUCACGACUUGUUGCCAUUUUUUUGUGAAUACUAUCACAAACAAAAUCAUUUUAGCUUUCUAAGAUACAGGGUAAAAACGAAAAGUUUAUCUUUUUGGGAUCCAGUGGCGUAGUCAAAAAAUUUUUUGGACCACUGGUUCUGAGAUUGACCAAAAGUUGGUAUUUUUAUUUUUUUUGCAUUCUUUUUCCUGAUUACAUUGAUGUAUCACAACCAAUACUUUUUUAUAUGAUUAUACACUAUACAGAGUUUAAGACGACAUAGGAUUUUACAUGUUAAUUUUAUUGAAUAUUAACGUUUUCUAGUUAUUUACUCCAUUUUGUGAUACCUCAAAUUGUAUAAAGUCCUACGGCCAGUUUCAAAAAAACUCACUAUGUUAUAUUAUAUUUUUCAAAAUUUUGAAAUAGCAUGCUUCCACAGUUCUACUGUCAGCGACUUUUAUAGUUUGGUCUUAGCAUAAAGUAAAUAAUUUACUCGAUGGUCUUAGUUACCAUGGAUGCGAUAAAUAAAACAAAAACUAUUUAAAAACCGAAAAAAUAAGGUUUUUAUUUUUGGUUCAUGGCUUAAAUUUAAAAAAAACUAUAGGUUGUGAUACAUCAAUAUAACCAGAAAAAAGUAUGCAAAAAAUUGACGUUAAGAUAUACAGGGUGUUGAAUUUAAAAAACACCAAAUUUGGGUCAAAUUUCGGAAACGACGGUCCAAAUCCACUGAAUUCUACAAUAUCAGUUUUUCCUUUUUUCUCUUUUACAUGGGUGGUAACAUAAUAAUUAUGAUAAUAUCCCAAAAGAUUUAACUUUUCGUUUUCACCCUGUAUCUCAGAAACAAAUGUAGCUAGAUUGAUUCUGUUUGCGGUAUUACAAAGUUUCACAAAAACGGGACGCAGCACAAGGUCGCGAAAACCGCAAGUCUCUUUCUAUAAAAACAGCGGAGAUACACUGCAGUCUCAACCAAAAUAGGUCACAUGGUACAAUCUUUUCUAUGGUGGACAAAUUUCUUUUUUCCACAUCAACUGCUUUGAAACUACACAAAAACAAACAUGAAAUUGAUUUGAAAGUUGUACUUUACAAACACACAUUAAAAGCACCUCCUACUCGCAUUUGUAAUUGGUGCCACUAUACCAUUAUACUUGUGUGAAAACUGCGCUUUUCAAAACUUGUACAUAAAAUUUGCAUUUCAAAUUUGUUUGUUUGCAAAUAUCUAUUUUUUGAGGGAUCUAGUUGACACAAUAAUAUGAUUGCAUAUGUAAUUAUCAAAAUCUCUAUACUCUACAAAAUGUGUGUCAGCAGAAAAUGGGAUGUUGGAUAUAAUGGAGUUUUCCUAUUUUUGUGUGUUAUAUUACAUAUAUGUGGUAAAGUUUAUAAAUAUAUCUUUACAUUUUACUAAGCAUAUUACAAUUUUUUCUGUUCCUUAAUU
This is a long non-coding RNA of Photinus pyralis (common eastern firefly), 2236 nucleotides long. RefSeq lists it as uncharacterized. The record is from RefSeq and is a predicted model, not a curated record. The transcript has 3 exons. Lineage: Eukaryota; Metazoa; Arthropoda; Insecta; Coleoptera; Lampyridae.